Molecule: long non-coding RNA, 231 nt
Filed under: Linum usitatissimum (flax)
Lineage: Eukaryota; Viridiplantae; Streptophyta; Magnoliopsida; Malpighiales; Linaceae
Description: long non-coding RNA (LUSI_LNC000364)
Source: RNAcentral
GAUUGUCGGCACCGGAAAUUUGAUCCAACCAGAUAUGACGGUCAUCGGCAGCUGACACUAAGAAUCUCCGGCGGGCGUAGCAGCUGAUGCGCCUAGUCCUGGCUCCGAUUAACUGGAACCGCCUAUUCCCGAAGCGGACCCGACCGCCGCCAGCACAGCAGCUCAUUCCGAUCAUCAUUCCUCCAAGUAUUCGCCGCCGCUUCGGUCUAGGAAUGGAGAUUAACGCGUUCA